RNAcentral lists this transfer RNA (92 nucleotides) under Schizothecium vesticola. Its description in RNAcentral is "tRNA-Pro". The record is from RNAcentral. Lineage: Eukaryota; Fungi; Ascomycota; Sordariomycetes; Sordariales; Schizotheciaceae.
GGGCUGCUGGUCUAGUGGUAUGAUUCUCGCUUAGGGUUCACCCUGAUGUACAUAUUUGCGAGAGGUCCCGGGUUCAAUCCCCGGGUGGCCCC